RNAcentral lists this ribosomal RNA (253 nucleotides) under uncultured bacterium. RNAcentral's name for it is "partial 16S ribosomal RNA". It matches the Rfam family "Archaeal small subunit ribosomal RNA", at positions 474 to 727 of the family's 1478-position model. The record is from RNAcentral.
UACCAGCACCCCGAGUGGUCGGGACGAUUAUUGGGCCUAAAGCAUCCGUAGCCGGUCUUGCAAGUCUUCCGUUAAAUCCAGCUGCUUAACAGAUGGGCUGCGGAGGAUACUACAAGACUAGGAGGUGGGAGAGGCAAGCGGUACUCAGUGGGUAGGGGUAAAAUCCUCUGAUCCAUUGAAGACCACCAGUGGCGAAGGCGGCUUGCCAGAACGCGCUCGACGGUGAGGGAUGAAAGCUGGGGGAGCAAACCGG